UACGGAGGAUCCAAGCGUUAUCCGGAUUUAUUGGGUUUAAAGGGUGCGUAGGCGGCUUAUUAAGUCAGGGGUGAAAGACGGUGGCUCAACCAUCGCAGUGCCCUUGAUACUGAUGAGCUUGAAUACACUAGAGGUAGGCGGAAUGUGACAAGUAGCGGUGAAAUGCAUAGAUAUGUCACAGAACACCGAUUGCGAAGGCAGCUUACUAUGGUGUUAUUGACGCUGAGGCACGAAAGCGUGGGGAUCAAACAGGAUUAGAUACCCUGGUAGUCCACGCCCUAAACGAUGAAUACUCGCUGUUAGCGAUACACAGUUAGCGGCUAAGCGAAAGCGUUAAGUAUUCCACCUGGGGAGUACGCCCGCAAGGGUGAA
Molecule: ribosomal RNA, 372 nt
Filed under: uncultured bacterium
Lineage: Bacteria
Description: bacterial SSU rRNA
Rfam family: Bacterial small subunit ribosomal RNA
Source: RNAcentral